This is a long non-coding RNA of Sphaerodactylus townsendi, 443 nucleotides long. RefSeq lists it as uncharacterized. The transcript has 2 exons. NCBI's taxonomy places the organism in Eukaryota, Metazoa, Chordata, Lepidosauria, Squamata, Sphaerodactylidae. The record is from RefSeq and is a predicted model, not a curated record.
GUGAGGAUCACUCAGAAGGAAACCGCGUGCAGAGCGAGAGCGCCUUUUGCCCCGGCCCCCCGGGAAGCGCUGAAGGGAAAAUGAUUGGUCAGAUAUCGCGAGAGUGGACGACUCGCACACUCGACCUGGCUAGAAGGAUCCAGAUGAGCAGCUGCCCUGUACUCUACUGCAGCAGGACUGGAAAGGAGGAGUGUCACGGCGUUUGACGUCAUUCUGCGCCAGUUGAGCCGGUGCUGUGGAAGGAAGCCACACCCGCUCUUUUUCCUGUUCAGUCGCCCCCUGCUGGCAAGGACGUGCAUGUUCACAUCGCAGUGGGGUUAAGGGUGUGCCGCUGGUCCACACAGGAUUUAUAGGGGGGCUUUGUGUGAAACUUUUAACAGCGCGCUUGCUGCAAGUGGUGUCCUCAAGUAUGAAUGGAAUUGCCAUAAAGGAAUGCCACCAGA